CAGCUGAUGGGUUGGUAUGUUUUCCUGCCUGUUGGUUGUUUGGCAUGAGGCAUCCCAGCCCUGGAGCCUACAGGCUGUUGGGUGAGGAUAGGUCUUGUUGCCAAAGUAGAGACUUCCAGAAGACCUCAAGCUGAUGAAUAUUCCCCCAGUACCUCCACCACCAGUGUCAUUGUCGCCACAGCCGCCCCGCCCCACCCGCCUCCCUGGAGACCCUCCAAGACCAGCAGGAGCUUUCAUUUGAUAAAGGCAACUCUUGGCUCUGAGAUACUGUUAUGUUCAGGAUCGAAACAAGAUCCAGCUGGUUCUGUGUUAAUCCAGUGAGACUCAAAAAUGUCAACUCACAAUUUAUCUCCAAAAGAGGAAAUAUCCUUUCCUAAUACUGCAAUGAAUGCCAUCACUAAAGAUGAAAUUUCAUCAUAAGUGUCUACAAAAAGAGACAAGAAGAUCAUAAUAAAAAUUCUCACAGGAAACAUCCUGACCAGGCCCACCUAUGCAUGGCUGCAGGAAAGAAGAAAUUAACAUCCACCCCCUCCAGAGUCUGGCUGGAACUAGGAAAUAUUUGCAACAUCUUAUUGCCUAUUUUUUCCCUUUAUCUCCUCACUUCCCCCUCUUUGCUCUAUGAAAGAAACUAGCAUACAAACCCAAGCAAGAUGGUUUUUUGGAACACUAGUCUACCAUCUUCUCUGCUGGCUUUCUGAAUAAAGUUGUUAUUCCUUGCCCAACAACUUGUCUCUUGAUUUGAUUGGCCUGUCAUGUGGUGAGCAGUAUGAGCUUGGGACUCAGUAAGAUCACCAGUGCAUCAAAAAGAAGAAAAUGCCUAGGAUUAAACCUACCUAAGGAGGUGAAAGAUCUGUACUCAGAAAACUAUAAGACACUGGUGAAAGAAAUUGAAGAUGACACAAACUGUUGGUGGGAAUGUAAAUUGGUGCAGCCACUGUGAAAAACAGUAUGGAGGAUUCUCAAAAAACUAAAAAUGGAACUACCAUAUGACCCAGUAAUUCCACUCCUGGGUAUAUAUCCAAAACAAACAAAAAAAUGAAAACACUAAUUUGAAAAGAUACAUACACUCCAAUGUUCAUAGCAGCAUUAUUUACAAUUACCAAGAUAUGGAAGCAGACUAAGUGACCAUUAACAGAUGGGUGAAUAAAGAAGAUGUGGUAUAUAUAUACAAUGGAAUACUACUCAGUCAUA
Non-coding RNA from Kogia breviceps (pygmy sperm whale), 1191 nucleotides. The record is from RefSeq and is a predicted model, not a curated record. NCBI's taxonomy places the organism in Eukaryota, Metazoa, Chordata, Mammalia, Artiodactyla, Physeteridae.